GUCCCCCUGGCGUCUGUGCCACCGGACGUCACAAAACUUCCUGGGGGUCACCUCAUACGAGGGCCCUGGCCCGCCCUCCCAGCCAGCGGCCCCUAGGGACAGAAGCGGCGGCCCAGAGGCACCUGCGGAGCUCUGUUUGGCCAGCCUCCCUCUGCCCAGUGGCACGAUGCUCCCGCGUAGACUUGAGACCUCACCGGGGGCUUGGAGGGGACAGGUAUCCUGGGGCGCAACGGGGCCGCGCGGGAGUGGGGAGGGGGGGACAGCCGGCGCUGCAGAUGAAUUACCCUUUCCCGACACCGCGCGAGCUUUUCAUCUCGUGCAUCGAAGUUGGCACUGUUGAUCAGACACGGAUUUGCUUUUGUCCUCUCCCCUUUGACUGUGGUCGCAGUUGGGCGUCUAGAAAUAGUUUCCAGUCUCCCCCCCACCCCACCCCAUCACGCCUGAAUCCUGAAAGGCGCUGGGAUAUUAGGGGGCGGCGCUGACUGGGCUAGAAAAUCCCCACCCCAGGUUGGAGCUGGGUUCGAGUGGUCGGUGCAACCCCCUAUGGCUUCUUAGCAGCUCUUUGUUGCUCCCAGGGCGCAUCGGACACGGGUUGCUUUUCCGAGACAUAAAUGGGGCCGGGGACAAGCCACAUGUCACCGAGGGGCUGUGGUGUUGAGGGACUUUUCCUGGGUCCCCUGCCCCGCUUCUGGAAAGGAGGAAGCUGGGAAGGGAAUCAGGAAGCCGGGGCUCAGGGUCACGGCCUAGGAUUGAAUCAGACCGACAGGCACAGCCAGAUUGGCAUUGUAACCAACCGUCAGCAGAGAGGGACACUUCUCUUUUCGGUUCCUGGUCUCCCUGUGCUUGGGAGGGACGGGUCUUCAGGGAACCUGAUGCGGGAAGGAAGGCGUAGCGGGCGCCUUCUACCUCUCUGUGCUGCUCUCUCUCUGCCUGUCAACCUCCUCUCCCUUCUGUCUGUCUAUGUGUCCCUCUCUCCUUCCCUCCCCCCGGGAAGCUGGGGCUGACGGAAAAGCAGGCAGUGGUUUGCAGGGCUGCAAGGUGGGACAGAAACCCAGCCCGUGCGGCGACAUCGGGAGUAGAUGGAGACGCGAGUGAACAAUGGAAAGUUGGUAGAGGACCUGCCGUGCCUUGGCACGCAGCACCGCCAAUUGUAUUUCUUUUGGGCACGCACAUGGGUCUAUUGUCAAAGGUGCCAGGGCUGGAGGCCAGGGUGGCCAGCAGGGUGUGGGCAGGCUGGUGGGCUGUCGCCGUGACCUAUUCUGGUGCCUGCGGUCACGUGGGGCCUUGUGGGCGCUACCAAGUGGGCAUGGGGUGGCCAGCCACUCCUCUUGUCCUUAAAAAUAGAAUGCCACCGCCUCUGGGGACUGAGGGGCGUGCAGGGGAGGGCGACGUCUUCCACUGGUUUUUGCCUCUUGGUGAAGAGGAUGCUUGUUCUCCAAGGAUAACUUCCUGUGGGCUGUUAUGGGAGAGCCAGACUGUGGAUGUUCACCUUGUUGCAACAGCAGGGUGUAGAGGUGUGUGUGUGUGUGUGUGAGAGAGAGAGACACGCACACACACACACACCCCCAGGUGUGUAUGCAAGAGACGGAGACUAAGCCUUAAGGAAUCCCCAGCCUUCCCCAAGCCGUCCCAAUCCUGUGUCUGAGCCACAGUGCCCACCAGCUGGAGGUCACUUCCUAAGGGGCAGUGGGCCCCAGAGAGGGGCCAGGCUGAGCUCUGCCCCUGCAGUUAGAACCUGGCCUCCUCGCUGUCCCCCGUGCCGGCCAGGCACCCGUGGGUCCCGCGUGGUCCGGGGCGCCUGUAUGCACUUCUCCAGUCGGGCAACGCGGCUCUCCUUGACGGGAAUCCAACCCACACGCGGAGCAAACCCACAACAUGCAAACACCCUGAACCUCUCUCGGCUUUUCUUUAGCAGCACCUGCGUCUUGGAACCUUCUGUCAGGAGGAGUGAGGGUGGAAGGACGCCGCUGGGCUCCGUCCUUGCUGCACGCAGUCCUACCCGUGUGUUUUGCUGUUUGCCUCACCCACUGGUGCGCUUUUGUGGUUUUCAUUCCGCACUUCUGCCUGUGAGCUGGGCACGGAGGGGAGGCUCCCGAGGCGCAGACAUGCUGAGUCACAAUCGCAGACACACGGUUUGUGGUGAUGUGGGCAUUUCAGCGCAGGUAGGACGGAGCCGGUGAAGACGCCGGGGCUUCUGCCCGACUUAGCCACGCCCGCAGUGGCUCUUAGACAGCCCACCUGUCGGGGAGGAACCCUCCGCUCAAGACCCAGCUGCAAAGGGACGGCCGAGUCCCCGGGGCGGCCCCUGGAGAUAGAAGGAGGAAAGUUGCAUACUGGGCGUCUGUGAGCAUUCUAGAUCAACCGAUUGCCCAGAAAUCCGGAUGGUUAGGAAGAAAUCUCAGCUUAGUGUUGCUGCAAAAUCUUUCAGAGCAGGGAAGCCACACUGGGGGGUGUCUGGGCUGAACUGUGAUUUCCGAGCUUGAGAAACACAGGCUCGGAGCAACCGGACGGCUCCCCGGACGGGAAAUGAUGUGCAAGCCCGUUCUCCGCACUUCUGGUCCACACGACCACGCUUGGUGUAUUCCCGUGUUGACGGACAACGUGCUGCUAAAACAAAAUAAUAGGUUUUGAGAUAAUUAUAGACUCCCGGGCCAUUCCAGAAUCCGUGCCCAGCGUCCCGUGCACCCUUCACGGAGCUUCCCUCUGUGGCGACAUCCUUGGUGACAGUAUCAGAACCAGGACGUCGGUGUCGGUACCAUCCUGCCGAGAGGUCACAGACCGUGUUCGGUGCCCCUUGGUUUUUGCAGGCUCUGCUCUGAGUGUGUGGGGGGGGCUGGAGCUGCCGUUCUGUGCAGUUUUAUCUUGUGCUGUUAUUUGGCAGCCAACACCCCCAAAUCGAGGACAGAACUAAUUCCCUCAACACAGACUGGUGGCUUCUGCCUCUCACCUGUUAUUUACUAUUGCACAGAAUGCGUUGGGCAAGUUGCAUUUCCCUUAAGACCCACGACACCUUCCUUCACAAAUGACUAAGUAUAGACGGCGCUCUCCCAGGUACUCGGAAUCGGUUUCCUCCACAGUGAUAGGGUUUUCUCCUGUGCUUUCCCCCACCAAAUUGGCCGUGGGUUCGCUCCGUCUGACCUGGGCUCUUAUUUGCCCCCAAAUAUCACACCAGCACACUUCCAGAAGGAGUGGACUUGGGAACCAGUGUGGUUUUGCUGGGCACAUAAAUGAGCGGUCGGUCAUACCGGCGGUGUUGACAUAAGCCAUUAUAAGGAAGUGCUUGUUGCUUAACAGUACACAGAAAAUUGAGAUUAUCCUUUGAUCCUGUCUGUCCGUCAGGGGCGCGCGGCAGGGUAACUUGCGAACGCAUGCGAGCGGUGGUUUCCAUUUGACAGCAUUAUGGGAACUUCAAAAAUGAGAUGACAUAUUAGAAAAGAGAGUCUUCCCAAGGACAGAAGUCCUACACGUUGUUCCCCUCCAUUUUUAAAAAAUUCAGAUAAAAUUCACCUAGCAUAAAAUGGACCCUUUUUCAGUGAGCCAUCCGUCUGAGUUUCGUACGUUCAAAAAGCUGCACGACCAGCACCUCCAUCUACUUCUGAAACAUUCUUGUCAUGUCCCCAGAGGAGACCCAGUCCCCAUGAGAUGUCACUCCUUGACCCCUUCCCCCCAGCGUCCGGUGACCAGGAAUAUGCUGUCUCCAUGGACUUACCGGUUCUGUGUGCUUCAUUCUACGAGUACUUCUUCCUUCUCCCUUGCCAUCUCCAAGGGCGUGAGGGUCCAGUGGGAAGAGAAAAGAGAACAUGGGGAGAUGCAGAGCCCAAAUUUCCCCGAUCAAGACGUAAGGGAAAAACUCACCCAAAAGAUCAGAUGGACAAACCGGGAAUAAAAAAAUGUGCAGCGGGAAUGAUGAGCAAAACACAUGCUCACAACUUCUACUGUCCUGGGGUGAGUAGAGCCCCCCUCCCCCCACCGAAUUCAUGUCCUCCCUCUCAGAACUCAAAUGGGACCUUAGUCAGAAGUAGGCUCCUUGCAGUUGCAAUUAGUUAAGGAUUGAGAUGAAGUCCAUUGUACUCGGGUGGCCCUAAAUCCAAUGACAGGUGUCCUUGUAAGAGACAGAAGAGGAGACAUAGAUACAGAAGAGAAGCCGCGUGAGGACAGAGGCAGAGACGCGGACAGGUCACAAGCCCAGGGAUGCCUGGAGCCCCAGAAGCUGGAAGAGGCAGGAAGGACCCUCCCCUGGAGCCGCUGGAGGGAGCUUGGCCCUGCCCUGCCUGGAUCUCAGCGGUCCUGCCCCGCCUGGAUCUCAGCUGCCCUGCCCCGCCUGGAUCUCAGCUGCCCUGCCCUGCCUGGAUCUCAGACUUCUGUCUCCAGAGCUGGGAGGAAGGCAUGAAUUCUUGUUGUUUUAAGCCACCAUGUGGUGGCAGCCCUGAACCACCUAAUUAGAAAACUAAUACACCUGCCAGAGAGGAUUGCAGAGCUGAUGUCUAGGCUGCUCUAGACCAUGGUGCCUUAGGUCCACGAAUUGGUUUCCCCAAAUCCUUGGAGGUGCACAACAUCCAACUACAAGUUGGAUGAUGCUUUCCAUGGGCGGCCUAAUCCUAGAGAUAGCGUGUGGAUGUGGUUAACACAGGAGAUCCAUGUGUUUAUUUUCGAAGACAGGGCAUCCGGAUCUCACUGCUUGAGGAUGGUCAUCCCCAGAGCUAGAUGGAAUAGAGCCAGGAACUUGCUCUUCUUCUGUCUCUACUUCUGCUCCAUUGCAACCAUCCCCUUCCCCCCACAAAGCAGCCAGGUGAGGCUUGCACAUGCUGUCUACUUCAUCUCAUCACUCCCUUUUGCAAAUGCACAGCUUUCCCGCAUUGCCAGACCAAGGGGGCGCCAUCUUGAAUCAGUUUUGACCUUGGGCUGCCAUAACAAAAUACCAUCAACCAGGUGGCUCAUAACACAACUUUAUUUUUCAGAGCUCUGGGGGCCAGAAGUCUGAGGUCAGGAUGGCAGAGCAUGAAUGGGCUCUGGUGAGCGCUCUCCCUGGCUUAUAUGUGGCCACCACCUUGCGCUGUGUGCUCGUAUGGUGGGAAGGGAGAUAGGAGAAGCAAGCUUCCUGGUGUCUACUAUAAGGGAACUAAGUUCAUCAUGAGGGACCCCAUUCUCAUGGCCUCGUCUAAUCUUAAUUACGGCCCAAAGACCCGCUUGCAUGUGUAAAUAAUAUUAUAUUGGGAGUUAGUGCUUCAUUGUAUGAAACCGGGGAGGGGGGCGGUGGCACAAACAUUCAGUCCACAAUACUCAGUUUUACUCCUCGUUAUGUGUUGUCCUGACUUCCUUCUCCUGAUCUCCCAUCUUUGGGGUGCAGGUGGCUGCCCUAGCAGCAGACUUCCCUCGUCUCAUCCUGGAAUCCGCAGGGGAGGACGCCUCACUCCCCGUGUCUGUCUGGGACAACCCUCCUUGUCCCUGCUUGCGUCACCCCCGUGGGUGGGGGCAUGGCACCAUGAUGGUGGUCUCAGAUCUGCUUCCUGGGUGAGUGCCUCCUCAGCUGGGGACAACCCGGGAGGCUGCCUUUGUCACUGGGAGACAUGAACACGUCCUGGGUGCCAGCAAGCGUUGCCGCUUGGGUUCACUGAUGAUGAUUCUGACCGCAGUGUUCUUUCUGAGAGAUUAACAUGUUAUGAUUUCUCUGAAAACCACUUUCAGUCUCUGGGAGGGACACUGUGGGGCUCUCUCUGUAUUUCCCCCAAGGUUUUUUUUCAGAUAACCACAAUGUCAUGACCUUCACCACCCUUGGGAGACUCAUCUUUUCCUUUAAGAUUUUAUUUGACAGAGAAACAGCGAGAGAGGGAACACAAGCAGGGGGGGUGGGAGAGGGAGAGGCAGGCUUCCCGCCGAGCAGGGAGCCCGAUGUGAGGCUCGAUCCCAGGACCCCGGGACCAUGACAUGAGCCAAAGGCAGGUGCUCAACGACUGAGCCACCCAGGCACUCCUCAUUUGUUUCUUUGGAACUCUAUACCUGCUGUUUCUUGGUGGGAAGGGGAGUAAAGUACUGGAUAACUAAGGUUGGCGGCCUCGUGAUUGUAGACGGGGUGGGGGCCAGGCAGAGUACUGUCCUCUCCCUUGAUCUCACAAGGAUGUGCACAAGGGGAGCUGGCUGCUGGCGUUUGGGGUUUUCUGCGCCCCUUCUCGGCACCGUCUGCUAACUGUUGGCAGCACGGCAGUCCCCUGCCCUGUGUCGUCGUCCUCCCCCGUGGUGCUCGUGUUGUGCAGUGGGGCAGCAGGGUGGGGGCGGAGACGUCUCCGGGGCUGUUUGCUCGCUGGUGUCUUUUGGCAGGGGUCGUUCCUUUCCCCAGGAUCACAUGGCUCGCCAUGACAUCUCAGUGCCUCGCUGCAGAGCUAAUGGGUUGUAUCGUGAUGUUCGGCAUGGCCCCUGUGCCAUAGAGGGUGGCUGCCCGUAAUGCCAUCAUCCAUUCAUUUAUUCACUCCUACAUGGGCCGGUUGGCGUGUCCCCGCUGGGCCGGGACCUUCCCGGAAAGCCUGUAAGUCCCCCGUGUUGGGAAAUCCCCAGGCCCAGGCACCUCAGGACGGUAGUUGUCCCUGCUCACGCUGGAUACUGGGGAGCAGCUACUGAACGCCAGCCUGCUCUCUGGACGUGGCAGGUCAUGGGGAACUCAACACAGGGGUCCCUGCUUCUUGAGUUUACGUUAGGCUGAGAGAGGUGGAUGGUGGGUACGGGGUGUGACACAUGCAUUUGGUGGUUGCUUCGAAGGCCGUCAGAAGUCUGGGGAGCACAGAGCAGCGCCGUGGGGAUUGGAGCAAUAGCUAUCCGAGAAGGGGUCGGGGCACGCUGCCAUGUGCGGGAGGUUACGGGGUCUGCCCUUCCCAGCAGGAGAGGUUUGGUCAAGUCUUGGAAGAUGAGGAGGGGGCUAGCCGUGGGGACACCCUAGGAGGACUGUGGGCACAGUGGCUGCUUCUCAGCUUUGAGCGGCAACAGUAUCCCCUGCAGGGCAUGUGUGAACACAGAUGGCCGGCCCACCCUACAGACUGACACCCCAGGAUGGAGAGGGGCCUGAGACUCUGCAUUUCUAACCAGCCCCCAUGCUGCUCCUCUUCUGCAAUGCGCUUUGGAGCUACAGGGUGACCUCAGAGCCCACCGGGCAUGUGCUAGAAGCUCUCAGAAGGUUCCUGUGGCUGGUGUGGGACGGAGCAAGCAGAGACGUGAAGAUGCAGAGCUUCCCUGCAGGGCUUGUGAUGUGUGUGUCCUCAGGUCGGCUUUCCUGGAUGCGUGUUCAAGGAGAAAGUCCUCGAGGAGGCGUCCGUGAAGGGCUCAGACCCACAGUGGUGGAGGUGGUCCUUCGCCUGGAUGUGCUUCUCCACAUACCUUGGCAGGUGCGUGUUGUGUUUUAUUCCGUCCUUUGAGGAUGAGUGGGGAGCUUCAGCCUGGAGCACCUGUGUCUCCUGUCCUUUGUGCAUCAACCAGGAAGUAAGCAUGGCCUCACCAAAGCAAGCUUCGCCAUCAUCAUCAUCAUCAUGAUGACCGUCCAGUCCCAAGCAUAGUGGAGGUUCAUCACUUCAGGGAUGGAUGGUGGUGGUAUUUGCUUGGAUUUGGAGCUUAUUCCGUUCAGUAGACCUGGAGUCUUCUGGCUAGGCUUGUCUUGAGGCUGCUGAGAGCCUUCACCUCCCACCCCACCCCUGCACGGGACACCUCCUUCUGCUAGCUCUGGGUUUUGGGAGUCAGGGUGCAGGGCAGGGUCCCAGAGGCACUCCCCUGCAAGGUCAUGUUCACUUGUUCUCCUGCUGUGAUCUCUCUCAUGGACUUUCUCCCCAUAUUGCUCUCCUAUGGCUGCUCUAACAAAUGACCCCAGGCCUAGUGGCUUAAAACAACAUGCAUUUUUUAAAUCCCGCAGCUCUGCAGGUUAGGGUGGUGGGUGUUAGUGGGUCAACAUCAAGGAUCAGCAGGGCUGCGUUCCCUUCCAGAGGCUCCGGGGGUCCUUGCUUCCUACAGCUUCUAGAUGUCGUCGCCCUUCUUCGGCUUAGGAUGCCUUCAUCCUUCUGUGGGGACAGCAGAGUUGGGUCAGAUCCUUCUCAUGCUGCCAUGUCUCUGUCUAUGGUUCUUUCACCCCUCCCUCUCUUGUGACGCUUGUAAGGACUCACCCGCAUCACCGAGGACCAUCUCCGUAUUUCAAGUCAACUACUGAGCAUUUGUAAGUAGCACCUGGAACAUCGGUUCUCCCUUAAACUAACAUAGUCACAGGGUCUGGGGAUUGGGAUGUUGACGCCUUUUGGGGGGGAGGCGUUGUUCUGUCCACGGCACCUGCUUCCUGUGUGUGCUUUGCAUGCCUCACCUUAGAAGUGGCUUCUAAGAGUGGGCUUCAGAGAGUAGUGUUGGGUGCGGUGGGGUGGGGAGGGCGGCUGCACUUGUCCAACUACACUGGCUUUCGUCAACGGACAAACCACAUUAACGAUAAAAAGCUCUUCCAUUAGGAGGAAAGAUGCUAGCUCCGACUAGCUAUGCAUACGGCUGUAAGGUGUGUGUGUGAGAGAGAGAGAGACACAGAGACAGAGGUGGGAAGACAAGUGAUUCAUUGAGUUAACUGAGCAGCUCACACCUGUCCCCUCCUCUGCCUGGCCAGAAUCCUGUACGAGGACUCAUUGCCCCCUCUCUGGGACCCGUCCCCUGCACUGGGCAAGCAGAACCAGCUCUCAUGUUACAAGGAGCCCCGGACAUGGGAUGGCUCAAAGCUGGGAAGGCACAGCUUUACCUUCUGGAAGCUUGAGUCCGGGCCCAAAUGCACAGUCAGAGGGGAGGCUCUGAACCGGGCCUGGGGUGCUCUGUCCAGGUCACCACAUGGCAUCCCAGAAGCAGAACUUGUAUCCACCUGGAGGAUCGAGAUAAGGAACACAGACACAGGAUUGUUUGCAAGGAGUCUCGAGCUUGUUGAUUAAUUAGGUAACACAUGCGCUUUUUUUUUUUUUUGGUAAACUUGGCAGGCUCUUUUCUGAGAGAGCUCGUGCAAGACUAAUAAAACCAACACAAUGAAAGCUUCUAAGCAGCUCAUUCUGGGAGCGUUCUCCCUUGCUUCUCAUGGGUAGGGAUCUCCGAUUGUAUGCUGGGCGGGGUGGACAGGAGGGUACACUUUGGCUUCACCAUUAGGGCACUUAGAUAGGAGUCCAGUUGGCAUUUGGAGUACAUCUGAAUAGCACAAAACGUGAUAGAUACCUCUCCACCGAGGCAUUUGAAGUUGUCCAGUGAUUUCUCCAUGGAAGCAUCCUGAGUUUCCAAGGCGGAGUGCCCCGUAUCGAGGGUGGAAGUGGGUGCGUGUUCCAGGGGGAGAUUCCUUCCUCCUGCUCCCCAUGUGCCCUGAGGAGGCCAAGUGGAGAUUCUUCAGGGUGGGAGGCCCCCACAGCCCUGAGCGUCCCGUGUCCCAGUGUAGGAGUUAACUGUAGGACACCUCUGAGUAGUCCUUCUGGACCCUUAGCUCAGCUCAGGUGUCCAGUGGCCCCCACCCCCAACACCGGUUUGCACCUUCCCACCCUGUUCAGUAUAGGCAGCCUGCCAAGGCUAGAUCCCAGGCGUCCCGGGACCCUGCCUAACUGGGCAGUUCCGUGUUUGAGAGAAACAUGCACCUUGGGCGCAGUGUCUUCUGUGUUGACCUUGCUUAACCCCACUUCCACGCUUGGAAAUCCAUACUGGUUUUUCCAGCAGGUAACAGAAGGAGGAGACUGUCCCACAGACUCCUUGCUGAAAUCAGCACGAGGUCCCAGCAGGGAAUCACACCCAAUGUCACGUGGGCAGGUGUCGUGGGCAGGCGUUAAGAGUCCUUGUCUUGAGGUGGUUGGUUUGCAAACAGUUCUGAUGAAGCAGCUCAUCAAGGACGUUUGCAGGGCAACCUCUAGAGAGUUCUUUUAAAGUGGUUGACGAUUAAUUUGGUGGAUGAUUUCAUCCCGCUGGAUCAUUAUCUUGGGAGCCACUCCACAGAACAAAGGGCUGUGCAGAUGUGGGGCUGGGUGUGGCUGGACAACAGCCCGGGCUCCGGAGAAAGAAGGUCUUUGUCAUGCCUGGGGCCCCCCCGGGAUGUGAGCGGGGAGGGCAGCCAGAAGCGGGGCUGGGUGUGCGCCCAAGCGUGCAUGCGUGUGGCUGUGUGUGCUCACGUUGGGGGCGUGUCUCUGGGCAGUCCCCCAGGAGGAUACUGAGCCAGCCGAAUGUUUGCGGACAACUCCAGAGGAGGAAAUCAUUCUGCAGAGAUCGAAAAUCCAGGAAGGGCAUUAAGAAGGCAAACUGCCUAGAAUGUUCUCUUCUCGGGCACUGGAUUCCAUUAUCAUUCCACCUUAAGAAAAAAGCAAUAUGUGUAGAAAAAUAAAAUCGGGAACGACUCCCUAUUCCCUGCACACUCGAGCAUAGUUGUUGUCAGGUAUUUGACUUAGGAAGACUUUUCUUUGCUCGGUCCUUAAACAGUUCAGUAUUUUAUUUUGAUGACAGAAUCUGGAGUGUCCAUUGUAUUGGUCUUUUCAAAGAACCAGAGUCUUCUUUCUUUGAUUUUUUUUUUUUUUCUUCUCUUUUCUUUCUCCUCUGUUGAUUUCCUGUUCUUCAUUUCACUGAUUUCUGCUUUCAUUUUUGGUCUGUCUUCUGCUUGCUGGUCUGGUCUUUCCCUGAUUUUUCUUCCUACAGUGUGUGAAGAACACAGGUCACCAGUCACCUGCUGCGGAAGCGUGUCUCCAGAAUGCGCUGCAUUUCAGGAUGGCUGCUCUGAGUUCUGGGGGCUUGUCUUCCUUCAAAAGGAAAAUCUGGGGACACCUGGGUGGUUCAGUGGGUUAAGCGUCUGCCUUCAGCUCAGGUCAGGAUCCCAGGGUCCUGGGAUCGAGUCCCUCAUUGGGCUCCCUGCUCAGCGGGGAGUCGGCUUCUCCCUCUCUGCUGCUCCCCCUGCUUGUGCUCUCUUUCUGUCUGGCAAAUAAAUAAAAACUUAAAAAACAUAAAAAAGGAAAAGUUGAGUGACGUUGCAGUGCAGAUUGAGCGCAGUCUGGGUGUUAACUAGAGAAUGCUACACAGAGGUUGGGAUGCUCUCGGCAAAGCCAUCAGUGGGAAGGUUGGACAGGUGGCUGCAUGGUCUGGAUUCUUCACUUCCUGUAUCAUCAGGUGGGGGUUCCCGACUUUUGUGAAGGUGAAAACCUACUUCUUCAUUUAGUGGAUCACUUACUCUGUGGCGUGCUUUUCCCCUUGCCUUCAUUAGUGCAUGGGACGGGUGCACGCGGUAGUGAAUGGAACAUACACAGGCGUGCACACACCCAUAUACAGUGAAAGGUGUUUUGGCUGUUUGGGUGGCAACCCUUGAAAACACUUGCAAACACUGAUUCUUGAGAUUCUGGCACACAGUGCGCUUAAACCGGAGACUGGCUGCCAUGUUGUUUGGGAAAACAACCUCCUUUUCCAAAGCUUGCUGCCCGCCCGGUGUUCUUGACGAGUGGGUGGAACAGCUAGUUCCCAGCUCUGCUCCAGAAGCUGGUUUGUCAAUUAUUCCUCCCUAACGUCAUUUUUCCAGAAACAGUGUCACAUACCACAGUUGGGGUUCCAGGCUCCUUAAUUUGUUAGCAUAGUAAAGAUGCCUUACCUGUAAGGAGCAUCACAUGGCGCUAGGAAAACGUAAAACACGAUUCUUAUGAAAGUUGGGGUUCCAGGCUCCUUAAUUUGUUGGGGUUCCAGGCUCCUUAAUUUGUUAGCAUAGAAAAGAUGCCUUACCUGUAAGGAGCAUCACAUGGCGCUAGGAAAACGUAAAACGCGAUUCUUACGAAAGUAGCGAUUCGGCAAAGGAAUAACUCAGUCGUGGGAGAAGCAGCAGUGUUGGAUGUGGAUGGUUGACAGAAGGCAGGUUUCCCAUAGAGGAGGCAAUAAGACAGGGGGAGCGGUUCAUCAGGACUCUUGAGGAAUCUGGAUAGUGUCUCUUAAUUGACUUUAGUUUUUCUGGCGUUGAACUUCGCAUCCCAAAGGGGUGGCAUGUAGUUGUUGGAUACGGGUCUGACUUUUCACGGACCCACCACGAUCAGGCUCACGUGGAAAUGUGCCUUGGGUCAAGAACAUGCUGUGUGGCUCCAGCCGGGCGAGAGUCAGGCACGGGACGUAGCAGAUGGACCCUUUCCUUGUCUUCUUGGUUCGUGUUGGGAUCCCAACGUGCUUGCCGCGUACCUGGCUCACCUGCAUGAUGAGAAGAUGAAGGAUGGACUCUUACCCUAAUGUAGGGACAUGGGAGAUAGUUUCCGGUUCCUCUCUUGGACCCUCAGGCCCCUUCCCUCCCGAAGCCUCCUGGGGGAUGAUGCAGGAGCGCCGUAGUCAUUGGGGAAGGAGGAUUGAGCGGUGGGAACUGGAUAUCCCUGGGGAUGGGGAGGGAAGGGUGGAGGGAGAUGGUUAGAGGGAAGCACAUUUUCAUCAUGUUGUCCAAGGGCGCCUUGGAUCCUAGAGGAAAAGUUGUGGCUUGAAGCGGGAACCCUUAGGAACACGGAAAGGAAGGCUUUCUACAUCUGACUGCGAUAUAUCUGGGAACACGUUCUUCACUCAAGACGUCAUGAUGCCCGGAUUUAGUACAUGGCGCUGUGACAUGAUCACAGAGUAAGCACCAUACGAGAAUGAAAAAGCACAUCGUACAAGCUUACAAACUAAGCACUUGUGUCCUUUGCAGAGCAGAAACUAAAAACACGCUAAACCUACGUCUUUAUCGUGUUUGGAGAAUGGUGCCGUGUGCAAAACAUUCCAUUUAACGCCUCUUGAAAGACUUUGUUGGUUGCAUGAUGGGUUGCGACAGUGAGCUCAUCGCUGAAUCCAAGUAGUUCUCCAAGUGGGGGCCGGGGACCCAUGGCGUUCCCAGGGAAACUUCUGGGGAGCUCAUGGGGUCAAGCGUCCUUUUGUAGUACCAUGAAGAUAUUAUCUGUCCUUCUCUCUCUUUCUCUCUCUCUCUCUCUCUCUCGCCUGGGCGUGUGGUGGUUUCCGGAGGCUCCCUGAGCUGGGACGGUACCACCUCUGACCAUCAGUGGAGUGUCCUUGCCCGCUGUUGUGUUUUAGACAUUUCUGCUUUCCUUGCUAAUAUGGUUACUAUCUCCAGAGAGUGACGCCCACGAGCAAACAGACAUUGGUUACGAUCCUCCAUCUGUGUCUGAAGAUCUGUGCCAAAGAAUCUUGAGAUCAGGGAGUUUGAGAACUGCUGUUUUAAACCAAUGACCUGGUCUAAGAGGGUCUUGAUUGAGCACCAACAGUGACUGAUUCAUGGUGAUUCCUGUAUCCAGAGGGUCUUCAGAGAAUGAACUGCCUCAUUGUGCCCCGAGAACGAGGCUUGAAUUCUCAUUUUUCAUCUUGCUCCACCCAAGUGAAGUGGUCGCUUUGUUCAAAAUUGAAUCCUACUAAUUGCAUUGCUUCUUUGGAAUUCUGGAUGUCCCCAUCGCAAUGGGGGUUUGGGUUAGCUUCGCAAAGGCAUCAUUUAGACUGUUCUGAAAGUGGUUAUUAGCACAUCCCAUGUGCAAGGAGCUGCAGAGUUUAUCUGGGGGACAUAAAAAGAUGGGAUGCAGUUUACAUUUCCAAGAAUCUUACUGAUACAAAUAACUAAGAAAAGGUCAGUGUGUUAAGGAUUAUAAUCAAGGUGUCAAGAAGGAACUAAGAUCUGAUAGCAGAUGUUCUGGGCUGAGUAGGGUUUGGGUAAACACAACUGGGGAGGAAGCGUGCAGCUUCUGGGCGUUUCAGGACCUAGUUCUCCUAAUGCUUUCGCUGUCAGAGCCCCCAGCCUCACUCACAUACGGCAACUUUCUGAGUCACUCUUUCUGGUAUCCGUCUCAUCCUUAAAUGGGAAGAGACCGCAAACCCGGUGUUUAUCAGGAGGUUACACUGUGUGAGGCAUCGAGAUAAGUAAAGACAUGUGAUCCCAGGAAAAGCAGAUAAUUCAAGGCGCCUAAGAAAAGACCGAUUAAAACAAAAAGAGGAACACAGGAGACAUUUAAAAAAUAAGUCUUACUAUGAAGCGGGGGAAAUCGGAGGGGUGGACGAAGCAUGAGAGACGAUGGACUCUGAAAAACAAACAGGGUUCUAGAGGGGAGGGGGGUGGGAGGAUGGGUUAGCCUGGUGGUGGGUAUUGAGGAGGGCACGUUCUGCAUGGAGCACUGGGUGUUGUGCACAAACAAUGAAUCAUGGAACACUUCAUCUAAAACUAAUGAUGUAAUGUAUGGGGAUUAACAUAAGAAUAAAAAAAAUAAUAAAAAAUAAAAAAUAAGUCUUACUUUGAGUCCUGUUUUCAGGGAAGUUUGAGAAGAUACCAUUCCCGUCAACAAAAAUAGGAUGUGACAGCGAAAGAGAAACAGUUUUAAAUGGGAUUGCUGAAAAUGUAAAUAAUUAAAAAAGAAAAUUCCCCCAAAUCAAAGGGUUCUCUUGUUCAUGCCUCUGACUUCAGUUAUCACCGUGGAGGUGUUGGCUCCCCGAUGUGCAGCUCAGAUCUAGACCUUUCUCUUGGGUGAGCACUGGAGGGCAUGUCUCCAGAGCAAUACCUGUUGGGAGGUCCAUGUCUCCCUGAAAGCUAGGAGGCCCAUUGUCAUACCUUCCUAUGGCUGUCCUAACAAAUCUCUGCAAAUCUGGAGGCUUACAAGAACAGAAAUUUAUGCUCCCACAGCUGUGGAGACCAGAGUUUGAGAUCCAGGCGGGGCAGGACCACUGAGAUCCAGGUGGGGCAGGGCCGCUGAGAUCCAGGUGGGGCAGGACCACUGAGAUCCAGGUGGGGCAGGGCCAUCUUACCUUCCCAAGGCUCCAGGGGAGGGUCCUUCCUGCCUCUUCCAGCUUCUGGGCUCCAGGCAUCCCUGGGCUGGUGGUCGUGUCCCUCCCAUCUCUGCCUCUGUCUUCACGUGGCUUCUCCUCUGUGUCCGUGUCUCCUUUUCUAUCUCUUACAAGGACCCUUGUCAUUGAAUUUAGGGCCACCCUGAUCCAGGAUGACCUCUUCUUGAGAUCUUUGACUUUAUUACAUCUGCAAAGAUGCUGUUUCCAAAUAAUACCACAUUCACAGUACUAGGGUUCAGGACAUGGACAUACCUUUCUGGGGGGGACACAGUUCAACCCACUACACCCUUCAUCCUCGACAUGCCCACAGGGUGCCACAUGGAACUGUUGAACCUUCUUCCCCCAAACCAAACAACUCAGCAGAUCCCUUGCACACCUGCCAGGGUUUCUGGUCACUAACUGCUCAGAUGCUGAACACCCCCCCACCCCCACAUUCUUGUCCACCCUCCCUCUCCUGGCCUCACCCAGCUCGUCUUCUUGGCUCUGCAUCUCCCUGUCACCACCCGCUCUUCACCCUUGGCUCUAGCCUCCGUCCUGAUUUCUACCACAGCCCUCAUACUACUGCCCUGGCUCUUCCUCGCACUGGCUUCUCCUCUGACAUGGACAUCUUUAAAGCAAAACAAAAGCAUGCAGAAACCAAAGCCGUGACACACACAGGCGUUUCCUGGUGUCAUUGUGUGAUUCCCUGCUGCCCUUGGCAUGAAGAACUCACUCAAAGGGUUUCACAGUGCCUCCCUUCUCUUGCUUUGCUCCCUAGUAUUUCCUCCCUGCUCCCAAAUCCCAGUGCUGUGUGGCUCCUGCCUCAUAUCCUUUACUUCUUCCCAAUCACCCUACAAAGUAGCCUUCAGUCUGCCCCACUCUCCAGUGUCCAUUUGAAACUUCCUCAAAAGGAAACGUCUUGGGCGCCCAGGUGGCUCCGUCGGUGAAGCGUCUGCCUUAGGCUCAGGUCAUGAUCCCAGCGUCCUGGGAUCGAGUCCCACAUCGGGGAGUCUGCUUCUCCCUCUGCCCCUCCCCUCCGUUCAUGAUCUCUCUAUCACUCUCUCUCAAAUAAAUAAAAUUCUAAAGAAAAAUGUCUUUUCUGACCCUUAACCAAAGUAAGGUCCAUUCGUUUCUUCCUCUACACACCUGUCUUACCAAGUCAUCAAACCUGAGCAAGCUCCUGAAACCCAGAUGAGCUCAUCAAUGUUCUUAGAGCUAUUAUAAUUAAUGCUUACUGUCUACCUUUCCGGCCCGAUUGUAACUAACCGCAGUGAAUGUGGGAACCAGCCUUAUGUUCAUUGCUGCUUUGGAGUCCUACAAAACACCUGACACACAGUCAAAUACCAUUAGCGGGGGAAAGAGUGCCGAACCUCAUUAUAUUGACUGGGUCUUCGUUCAGAGAGUGAGGUCAUAUUCAUUCCACGGACUGCCUGACUCAUUUGUGGUCAAAGAUGGAGUUUUCUAAAUAUUUCUGACCUGGCAGUUGACCCUGAUAACAAGAACUGAGUGUGAGCUGAAUGGUAGAACUUUAAAGCUGUCCAAUAUGGUGGCCGCUAGCCCCAUGGAAUACAAUAAGGGUAUUGUCUCAGGAGCUGCAUUUCUUUUCUUUUCUUUUUUUUAAAGAUUUUAUUUAUUUAUUCAUAAGAGACAGAGAGAGAGAGAGGCAGAGGGAGAAGCAGGCUUCCCGAUGCGGGGCUCUAUCCCAGGACCCUGGGAUCAUGAUCUGAGCCGAAGGCAGACGCUUAACCAUCUGAGCCACCCAGGCGCCCUCAGGAGCUGCAUUUCAAAUCCUCAGGAGCCCCCUGUGAGCGCGUAACUACUGAGUGGACAGCGGGAUGUAGAAGGUUCCUGCCCCAUGGAAAGUUCUUCUGGGCAUUGGGUCCUAACUGGGGGUGAUUCUACCCCCACUGGACACUUGGCAAUGUCUGGGCAUUGUUGAUGCUCAUAACUGGAGUUUGGGAGGCCGGGAUGAGGGCAUUUGGUGGAGGAAACUCUGCCUUAGCGAGAGAGAUUCUCUCAUUUGUCUGUCCCUCCAUCCCUCCAUCCCUCCCUCCCUACCUCCCGCCAUCCCUCCAUCCAUCCCUCCCUCCAUCCAUCCCUCCAUCCCUCCAUCCAUCCCUCCCUCCAUCCCUCCCUCCCUCCAUCCCUCCAUCCCUCCAUCAUUCAUCCAUCCCUCCAUCCAUCCCUCCAUCAUUCAUCCAUCCCUCCAUCCAUCCCUCCAUCAUUCAUCCAUUUAUGCAUCCAUCUAUCAUCCAUCGAUCAUCCCUCCACCCAUCCAUCCGUCCGUCAUCUGUCAAUCAUCUGUCAUCUUAUCAUCUGGCUGUGUGUGGCAUUUCAAGGGUGACAGUGACAUUCCAUCCCAUCCUGGAUGCAGUGUAGGGCUGCGUCUUUAACCUGGCCAGCUUUUAUUGGGAACGUGUGAAGACCCACCUUUGUUCUUUUUGGUGAAGCCUCACGGGAGUGACAUUCAGAGCUGCAGAUAUCGUGCUUACAGGAACACCAAAGCUGAGCCAGGAAUUCCAGGCAUUUCCCUUGUGGGACAUCUGCUUGUGUUGGGGGUGGGCGAGAACUUCCUGUGUUUCUUUAUUCCUUUGGGAUUAUCCGUUCUGUAUCUUUGAUAGGGGACAGGGUAAUUCAGUAAAUAACUUGUAAAUAGGAGAGUUUUGGUUCCAAAAUGUCUCUUCUAUUUUUAUCUUUUAAAACAGGACAGUGUGAAAUCGAAUGUUGCUUGACUCAGCAAAAUUUUGAGGGCGUUAUUUGUUUAAAAAAGCCAAAAAGCCAUCUAGACAAGGAAACUCACAAAACAGCCCCCCUCCCACCCAGGGCUGAGUUGAAUUAGGACCAGUUUUUUUUAGCUGAUCUUUGAAGUAUAUA
This is a long non-coding RNA of Mirounga angustirostris (Northern elephant seal), 17631 nucleotides long. RefSeq lists it as uncharacterized. The transcript is spliced from 2 exons. The record is from RefSeq and is a predicted model, not a curated record. NCBI's taxonomy places the organism in Eukaryota, Metazoa, Chordata, Mammalia, Carnivora, Phocidae.